RNAcentral lists this ribosomal RNA (263 nucleotides) under Pseudomonas aeruginosa. RNAcentral describes it as "partial 16S ribosomal RNA". It matches the Rfam family "Bacterial small subunit ribosomal RNA", at positions 1271 to 1533 of the family's 1533-position model. The record is from RNAcentral. Lineage: Bacteria; Pseudomonadati; Pseudomonadota; Gammaproteobacteria; Pseudomonadales; Pseudomonadaceae.
ACCUCAUAAAGUAUGUCGUAGUCCGGAUUGGAGUCUGCAACUCGACUCCAUGAAGUCGGAAUCGCUAGUAAUCGUAGAUCAGAAUGCUACGGUGAAUACGUUCCCGGGCCUUGUACACACCGCCCGUCACACCAUGGGAGUGGGUUGCAAAAGAAGUAGGUAGCUUAACCUUCGGGAGGGCGCUUACCACUUUGUGAUUCAUGACUGGGGUGAAGUCGUAACAAGGUAACCGUAGGGGAACCUGCGGUUGGAUCACCUCCUUA